This 301-nucleotide ribosomal RNA is filed under the name uncultured bacterium. RNAcentral's name for it is "partial 16S ribosomal RNA". It matches the Rfam family "Bacterial small subunit ribosomal RNA", at positions 509 to 808 of the family's 1533-position model. The record is from RNAcentral.
CAGUACCGCGGUAAUACGGAGGGUGCAAGCGUUAAUCGGAAUUACUGGGCGUAAAGCGUGCGUAGGCGGUUCGUUAAGUCUGUUGUGAAAGCCCCGGGCUCAACCUGGGAAUGGCAAUGGAUACUGGCGAGCUAGAGUGUGUCAGAGGAUGGUGGAAUUCCCGGUGUAGCGGUGAAAUGCGUAGAGAUCGGGAGGAACAUCAGUGGCGAAGGCGGCCAUCUGGGACAACACUGACGCUGAGGCACGAAAGCGUGGGGAGCAAACAGGAUUAGAUACCCGCGUAGUCCCUGUCUCUUAUACA